CCCUAAGUGUCCCUGUCCCCUGAGUGUCCUCAGGUGACCCCAUGCCCUGUCUGUGUGUCCCCAAGUGUCCCCGUCCCCUGAGUGUCCUCAGGUGACCCCAUGUCCUGUCUGUGUGUCCCAAGUGUCCCCAUGUCCCCUGAGUGUCCCCAGGUGACCCCAUGCCCUGUCUGUGUGUCCCCACGUGUCCCCAUGUCCCCUGAGUGUCCCCAGGUGCCCCCAUGUCCCAAGUGUCCCCAGAUGUCCCUGUCCCCUAUCUGGAUGUCCCCAGAUGCCCCCAUACCCUGUCUGGCUGUCCUCAAAUUGUCCCCAUCCACACCCUGUCUUGCUGUCCCCAAGUGUCCCCCAUCCCUGUCCAGCUGUCCCCAGCUGUCCCCAUGUCCCCAGACGCCAUCCUAACCCGCUGUCCCUGCUGUGACCCGCUGUCCCCAGCUGACCCCAUUGCUGGGCUGUCACUCCCGGUGACAAAGUGACCCCUGGUGGCCCUGCGGUGCCAUUCGUGUCCCCGGCUGUCACCAGGAAUCCUGCCUGGCUGUCACUGCCAGCUGUCCCCGUGUCCCCUUUGGCUCCGCUGUCACCUCCAGUGCCUCCUGUCCCCUAUGGGUGCCUCAUUGUCCCCCUGAGUGCCUCGUUGUCCCCUAUGGGUGCUUACUGUCCCCUUAAGUGCC
This 665-nucleotide long non-coding RNA is filed under the name Phasianus colchicus (ring-necked pheasant). RNAcentral describes it as "lncRNA (ENSPCLG00000019721.1)". Lineage: Eukaryota; Metazoa; Chordata; Aves; Galliformes; Phasianidae. The record is from RNAcentral.